CCUACGGGGAGCUGCAGUGGGGAAUAUUGGACAAUGGGCGAAAGCCUGAUCCAGCCAUGCCGCGUGUGUGAAGAAGGCCUUCGGGUUGUAAAGCACUUUCAGUGGGGAAGAAAGCCUUGGGGCUAAUACCCUCGAGGAAGGACAUCACCCACAGAAGAAGCACCGGCUAACUCCGUGCCAGCAGCCGCGGUAAUACGGAGGGUGCGAGCGUUAAUCGGAAUUACUGGGCGUAAAGCGCGCGUAGGCGGUCUGAUAAGCCGGUUGUGAAAGCCCCGGGCUCAACCUGGGAACGGCAUCCGGAACUGUCAGGCUAGAGUGCAGGAGAGGAAGGUAGAAUUCCCGGUGUAGCGGUGAAAUGCGUAGAGAUCGGGAGGAAUACCAGUGGCGAAGGCGGCCUUCUGGACUGACACUGACGCUGAGGUGCGAAAGCGUGGGUAGCAAACAGGAUUAGAUACCUAGUAGUC
RNAcentral lists this ribosomal RNA (464 nucleotides) under Vreelandella stevensii. RNAcentral's name for it is "partial 16S ribosomal RNA". It matches the Rfam family "Bacterial small subunit ribosomal RNA", at positions 338 to 795 of the family's 1533-position model. Lineage: Bacteria; Pseudomonadati; Pseudomonadota; Gammaproteobacteria; Oceanospirillales; Halomonadaceae. The record is from RNAcentral.